This 668-nucleotide ribosomal RNA is filed under the name uncultured bacterium. RNAcentral describes it as "bacterial SSU rRNA". It matches the Rfam family "Bacterial small subunit ribosomal RNA", at positions 755 to 1423 of the family's 1533-position model. The record is from RNAcentral.
GAAAGCGUGGGGAGCAANCAGGAUUAGAUACCCUGGUAGUNCACGCCGUAAACGAUGAGUGCUAGGUGUUAGACCCUUUCCGGGGUUUAGUGCCGCAGCUAACGCAUUAAGCACUCCGCCUGGGGAGUACGACCGCAAGGUUGAAACUCAAAGGAAUUGACGGGGGCCCGCGCAAGCGGUGGAGCAUGUGGUUUAAUUNGAAGCAACGCGAAGAGCCUUACCAGGUCUUGACAUCCCUCUGACCGCUCUAGAGAUAGAGUUUUCCUUCGGGACAGAGGUGACAGGUGGUGCAUGGUUGUCGUCAGCUCGUGUCGUGAGAUGUUGGGUUAAGUCCCGCAACGAGCGCAACCCCUAUUGUUAGUUGCCAUCAUUCAGUUGGGCACUCUAGCGAGACUGCCGGUAAUAAACCGGAGGAAGGUGGGGAUGACGUCAAAUCAUCAUGCCCCUUAUGACCUGGGCUACACACGUGCUACAAUGGCUGGUACAACGAGUCGCAAGCCGGUGACGGCAAGCUAAUCUCUUAAAGCCAGUCUCAGUUCGGAUUGUAGGCUGCAACUCGCCUACAUGAAGUCGGAAUCGCUAGUAAUCGCGGAUCAGCACGCCGCGGUGAAUACGUUCCCGGGCCUUGUACACACCGCCCGUCACACCACGAGAGUUUGUAACACCCG